RNAcentral lists this ribosomal RNA (252 nucleotides) under uncultured bacterium. RNAcentral describes it as "partial 16S ribosomal RNA". It matches the Rfam family "Bacterial small subunit ribosomal RNA", at positions 15 to 256 of the family's 1533-position model. The record is from RNAcentral.
GAUCAUGGCUCAGGAUGAACGCUAGCUACAGGCUUAACACAUGCAAGUCGAGGGGCAUCAGGAAGAAAGCUUGCUUUCUUUGCUGGCGACCGGCGCACGGGUGAGUAACACGUAUCCAACCUACCCUUUACUCGGGGAUAGCCUUUCGAAAGAAAGAUUAAUACCCGAUGGCAUAAUGAUUCCGCAUGGUUUCAUUAUUAAAGGAUUUCCGGGUAAAAGGAUGGGGAUGCGUUCCAUUAGGUUGUUGUGAGG